AAUGCCUGCUGGGGGAGUUCGCAAGAACUGAGAUGAGACUGACGGUCUCAGACCCUUAAGACCUGAUCCGGGUAAUACCGGCGUAGGGAAGCGGUGUCACGACAAU
This 106-nucleotide non-coding RNA is filed under the name Geobacter sp. RNAcentral describes it as "TPP sequence". It matches the Rfam family "TPP riboswitch aptamer (THI element)". Rfam says of the family: Vitamin B(1) in its active form thiamin pyrophosphate (TPP) is an essential coenzyme that is synthesised by coupling of pyrimidine and thiazole moieties in bacteria. The record is from RNAcentral. RNAcentral also lists the same sequence under 1 other name. Lineage: Bacteria; Pseudomonadati; Thermodesulfobacteriota; Desulfuromonadia; Geobacterales; Geobacteraceae.